This 463-nucleotide ribosomal RNA is filed under the name uncultured bacterium. Its description in RNAcentral is "partial 16S ribosomal RNA". It matches the Rfam family "Bacterial small subunit ribosomal RNA", at positions 28 to 507 of the family's 1533-position model. The record is from RNAcentral.
GAUGAACGCUGACAGAAUGCUUAACACAUGCAAGUCUUUGGCGAAGCUGUGCUUGCACCGCCUAGCCAAGGCGGACGGGUGAAUAACGCGUAAGGAACUUGCCCUGCAGUCAGGGAUAACAGACGGAAACGACUGAUAAGACCUGGUAAAGUCAGGCGGACUCAUGUCCAGCCUGAUGAAAAGAGAUGCUGCAGGAGAGCCUUGCGUCCUAUUAGCUUGUUGGUGGGGUAACGGCCCACCAAGGCGAUGAUAGGUAGCCGGCCUGAGAGGGUGGACGGCCACAAGGGGACUGAGAUACGGCCCUUACUCCUACGGGAGGCAGCAGUGGGGAAUAUUGGACAAUGGGGGCAACCCUGAUCCAGCAAUUCUGUGUGCACGAUGAAGGUUUUCGGAUUGUAAAGUGCUUUCAGCAGGGAAGAAAAAAAUGACGGUACCUGCAGAAGAAGCGACGGCUAAAUACGUG